AUGACCAAGAUGCACGGCCAUUACGUCGCCGUCGCCGCCGCCGCCGUGGUGGUGGUGGUGCUCCUCCUCCCCGGCUGCCUCGAUGCCUACCCGGACCCGGAUGAGGUAGUCGUCGUCGACGUGGGGGCGCUGGAGGAGGGCAGCAGCUGCUACUUCCCGAUGACGGCGCCGGUGGUGCCGGAGUCCCCCGAGGCGCGCCGCGAGCACUACCGAGCCAUUGCGGCCAAGGACCUGGCCCGGCACCGGCGGAUGGCGGCCAGCACCAGGAGGAGGCAGCUGGCGGCGUCGGGCAUGCCGGAUCUUUUGGCGGCCACGAGCGGGAGCGCCCUGUCCACGUUCGAGCUGCCGAUGCAGAGCGCCCUGGACUCGAUGGACGUGGGCAUGUACCUGGUGACGGUGCACUUCGGCACGCCGGCGGUGGCCUUCAGCAUGGCCCUGGACACCGCCAACGACCUGACCUGGCUCAACUGCCGCCUCCGCGGCCACCGGCGGCACAGGGACAGGGGCAACGCCAACGCCCAGACCAUGUCCCUGGAGCAGGCGCUGGAGCCACCCUUGGUGAAGAAGACCUGGUACCGUCCGGCGCGGUCGUCGUCGUGGCGGCGGUACCGGUGCUCUAUGCGAGACAGCUGCGGCCGCUUCCCGCACGUUGCGUGCAAGACGCCCAACCACAACGAGUCGUGCAGCUACCACCAGCAGCUGCAGGACGGCACGAAUACCCGCGGCAUCUUCGGGCGCGAGACGGCGACGGUGGCGGUGUCGGGCGGGAGGCAGGCGCGGCUGCCGGGGCUGGUGCUGGGGUGCUCGACGUUCGAGGCCGGCGGGACCGUGGACGCGCACGACGGCGUGCUGACGCUGGGCAACGCCAACGUGUCCUUCAGCAAGAUGGCCGGGAAGAGCUUCCAGGGCCUCUUCUCCUUCUGCCUGCUGGCGACGCACAGCGGCCGCGACGCCUUCAGCUACCUCACCUUCGGGCCCAACCCGGCCAUGGUGGCCGGCGCCGGGUUCGGCGAGACAGACAUCGUGUACAUGCAGAACGAACCGUCCAUGGGCGUGCAAGUCACGGGCGUCUUUGUCAACGGGCAGCGCCUCAACGUCCCGCCGGAGGUGUGGAACUACCGCGUUCACGGCGGACUCAACCUGGACACGGGCACCUCCGUGUCGUCGCUGCUGGAGCCGGCGUACGGCGUGGUCACGCGGGCGCUCGCCACCCUCCUAGACCCAAAGCUGGAGAAGGCACCGGAGGAGGUGAUCCCGUUCGAGCACUGCUACAAGUGGGACGGCAAGAACCCGGCGCCGGAAGCCAUUGUGCCGAAGCUGGAGCUGGUGUUGAUGGGCGGCGCGAGGCUGGAGCCCAGCCCCAAAGGCGUGCUCAUGCCGGAGGUGGUGCCCGGGAUCGCCUGCAUCGGCUUCUUUAAACGGGACUCCGGGCCCAACAUCCUCGGCAACGUGCACAUGCAAGAGCACAUCUGGGAGUUCGAUGACGUCAAGGGCAAGCUCCGGUUCAAGAAGGACAAGUGCACCACCCACAUUAAUAUUUCUCCUCCUCCAACUAAUCCCAAACCCAAUCCCAAUCCCAAUCCCAAUCCCAAUCCCAAUCCCACCAACAACAACUAA
RNAcentral lists this ribosomal RNA (1617 nucleotides) under Triticum aestivum (bread wheat). RNAcentral describes it as "partial small subunit ribosomal RNA". Lineage: Eukaryota; Viridiplantae; Streptophyta; Magnoliopsida; Poales; Poaceae. The record is from RNAcentral.